RNAcentral lists this ribosomal RNA (1242 nucleotides) under metagenome. RNAcentral describes it as "bacterial LSU rRNA". It matches the Rfam family "Bacterial large subunit ribosomal RNA", at positions 1564 to 2815 of the family's 2925-position model. The record is from RNAcentral.
UGAAUACGAGACGCUAAGGCGUCGAAGUAGUGUAUGUCAUACUUCCAAGAAAAGCUUGCACUGUCAUAAGUAAAAAAUGCCUGUACCAUAACCGACACAGGUGGGUAGGUAGAGUAUACUAAGGGGCGCGAGAUAACUCUCUCUAAGGAACUCGGCAAAAUAACUCCGUAACUUCGGGAGAAGGAGUACCUUAUUCUAUAAGGUUGCAAUAACAAGAUCCAAGCAACUGUUUAUCAAAAACACAGGUCUCCGCUAAGUCGUAAGACGAUGUAUGGGGGCUGACGCCUGCCCAGUGCCAGAAGGUUAAAGAAGUCGGUUAGCAUUAGCGAAGCUGGUAACUGAAGCCCUGGUGAACGGCGGCCGUAACAAUAACGGUCCUAAGGUAGCGAAAUUCCUUGUCGGGUAAGUUCCGACCCGCACGAAAGGCGUAAUGAUUUGGAUACUGUCUCGGAGAGGGGCUCGGUGAAAUAGACUUGUCUGUGAAGAUGCGGACUACCUGCACCAGGACAGAAAGACCCUAUGAAGCUUUACUGUAACUUGAAAUUGAAAUUGGACUUUAUUCGCGCAGUAUAGGUGGGAGGUGUUGAUUAUAAUCUUGCGGGAUUAUUGGAGCCAUCAGUGAGAUACCACUCUUGUAAUGUUAGAUUUCUAACUUUGAAUCAUUAUCUGGUCAAAGGACAGCUUCAGGCGGGCAGUUUGACUGGGGCGGUCGCCUCCCAAACGGUAACGGAGGCGUACAAAGGUUUCCUCUGAACGGGUAGAAAUCGUAUCUAGAGUGUGAAGGCAUAAGGAAGCUUGACUGUGAGACCUACAAGUCGAACAGGGACGAAAGUCGGUCUUAGUGAUCUGACGGUACUGAGUGGAAAGGCCGUCACUCAACGGAUAAAAGUUACUCUAGGAUAACAGGCUGAUCUCCCCCAAGAGUUCACAUCGACGGGGAGGUUUGGCACCUCGAUGUCGGCUCAUCGCAUCCUGGGGCGGUAGUACGUCCCAAGGGUUGGGCUGUUCGCCCAUGAAAGCGGUACGCGAGCUGGGUUCAGAACGUCGUGAGACAGUUCGGUCCAUAUCCGGUGUAGGCGUUAGAAUAUUGAGAGGAGCCUUCUUUAGUACGAGAGGACCGAGAAGGACAUACCUCUGGUGUACCAGUUAUCGUGCCAACGGUAAACGCUGGGUAGCUAUGUAUGGAGUGGAUAACCGCUGAAAGCAUCUAAGUGGGAAGCCCACCUCAAGAUAAGUAUUCUC